GUUAUUUUACGACAUAGUGACGUCAUCAGACGGGCAGGGUUGAUGCUGCUGAGAGCGAGGCUGCACGAGUGGGAUUCUGCCCAGAAACAGAGGAGAACAUGGGAAGUGGUCAGAGCCAGCACCGCCCAGAUAAAACAUCUCUGCCUGGAGUUGUUCCAACAGAAGAGGCUGCUGUAGUGGUGCACACCACUAAUCCCUCCACACAAAAUGAAGGUGGAGGCCAGUUGGAUGAUCUCCCCCAGCGCAAAAUGGGAAAAAAGGAAGUGGAUGAUAUGUGCUUCAUGAUUGUCUGUACAAACUGGUAUUAAAGUCAUGAAGAUACUUGCAUUAAGUACUUCGGAGUACUUAAUAUUGCUAAUUUAUUAUUAGUCUUGUAUCUGGCUGUCAGAAGAUCACAUUAGACAGCAGGAUGGCCUCAUUACAGAGUGCAGAUUUAAUGUAUCUGCUCCAAGAGUUAUAUAUUGAUGUCUGUCUGUAAUUUUACUGUUAAAGUGGAGAGGGCUAGAAGAGAGAUUUUAGAGUAGGAGCGAACAGGAGCUAUCAAAUGUUCUUUUACUUAUGCAUUAGUUCUGACUUUUGAACUCAUUGUGUAUAAUUAUGGCAACCCACUGAGAUCUAUGAGUUGGAGGAAACCUGAAGAUCUUAAUUUGGUGUAAUAAUUGGGAGAUGUAGGUAGGUGGACUGGCCUCUGUGACAAUUUGUCUUCAUGUAGACACUUGAGCCUGGUGGGUAUGAAGCAUUUUGAGGUGGCAGGAGUUGGGCAGGCAGAGUUUAAUAUAUGACCACAUAAGCAGUAUUGUUCAUUCCUUGCAGCACUAUAAAAUAAAUGAAUUGCUACUCAGUGCAUUUUGAUGUGUUCUGACUGAUGAUUCUAAUUUCUAGUGACUAAGAUGUCCAGGAUUGCAGGCGUGUACUGCUGAUCAGCAGUUUCUCUCAGUCAGGGUCUGUGCCUGUCUAAACAAAUCAAUUUUGUUUUUCAGUACAUAAAAAAAAAAAUGAAAAUUAAAAAUAGUACUCUUCAAUGUAAAAUGAAAGUAUUACAGAAUUAUGUUGUACUAGGUUGUUCCCUAAACUGUGAACAGCAAAGGAAUAUGCUUUUGCUUAUAGAAAAACAAGUUGGGAGCAGAAAAGAAAUUAAUAAGCAGGGUCACCAGAGUAUUUAAUAAUUUUUUUAACAUCACAAACCCCAGUUAUAUAGAACAUUUGCAUUUCAUGACACUAUUAACUGUGUUGCUUUAAGUUUUGUGCCUCUUUGGCUCUCACUUUUUCAAGAAUACAUUGCCAUAGUGUUAUGCAGCAAUGGAUUUCAUUUUGUUUUCUUGAUACUAAUCAAUAGAAAAAGACUCUUAAUGCCAAAGUGAAAAUCUGUGUCUGCAUCUAAAUUAAUUAUAAAUAUAAAACACAAAAUUAGCUGAUUGCGUAAGUAUUCACUCCCUUUAAUAUGACACCGCUAAAUCAUCACUGGAGCAGUCAGUUGGUUUUAAUAAUCUCAGAAUUAGUCUGGGUGGCAGUAGAUUGCAGUCUAAAUGCUCUUUAUCUGGAAGGUCCAGUCAGUGUGGUGGCCUAACCUACACAAUGAAGACAAAAGAGUCAAAGCAACUCCAUAAAAAGGUAAUCGAAAAGCAUAAGUCAGGGGACAGAGAAGACAAGAAAAUAUCCACAUCAGUUAUUAUCCCUUGUAGCCCAGUUAAAUCAAUCAUUAAGAAAUGGAAAGAAUAUGACACAGCUGAAAAUCUGCCUACAGCAGACUGUCUACAAAAACUAAUUUUAAAGAAGAAGAAGAAGACUAGUGUGGGAAGCUACCACGAGACUUAUGAGAGCCCUGAGUGAGUAACGCUCUGCCGUGGCUUAGACUGGAGAGACUGUGCAGAUGACAAUUGUUGAUGGUUGCUUCACUAGUCUCAGCUUUAUGGGAGAAAGGCAAAGAAAUUUUUUUUUUUUUUUUUUUUUAAAAGGCUAAUGGAAGACUCUGAAGUCAGCUGGAAGAAGGUUUUGGGCAUCAGACUAAACUCCUUGUUUUAUUACUGUGCAUUAUCAUAAACACAUCAUUCUUACCAUGAGGCAUGGUGGUUGUAGCAUCAUUCUGUGGAGGUGCUUCUCUGCUGCAGGGCAUGAAAGGCUUGUGAGGAUAGAGGGUCAAAUGAAUGCAGCAAAAAUAAGUCGACAUUUUGGAGGAGAACCUGAUGCAGUUUGCAAGAAACCUAUGCCAUGGAAAAAGAUUUCUUUUCUAGCAAGACAAUGACCACAAGCAGUAACAAUGUGAAUGUCCUGGAGUGGCUGAGUUAGAGUUGAGAUCUCAAUCCAACUGAGAAUCUGUGGCCAGAUGUAAAUAAAGCUGUUCAUUUACAAACUCCAUGCAACCUGACAUAGUCAAUGCUGUAUAACAAUAAAAUAUGAAACCUUUCAA
Molecule: long non-coding RNA, 2407 nt
Organism: Erpetoichthys calabaricus (reedfish)
Lineage: Eukaryota; Metazoa; Chordata; Cladistia; Polypteriformes; Polypteridae
Exons: 3
Source: RefSeq, a predicted model, not a curated record